UCCUCUAACUUUCAAGCUGCCUCGGAGGAGGCACUUGCCAGAGAGACCUCGGCGUCGGCCUCUUUUCAUUCGGCACAUCCCAUGAUCUGGAACAACCGUCUUCAUUAGUAUUGCAAUCGAUUUUAACUAGCUCGCGUACACAUUAUGCAAAUGUUGCUCGUGUUUGUGGUAUGGGACGUCACAAAUAAAUUACAUCGAUAAUAUGACAGAUAAUGGCACAGCUAAGAGUCAUCGGAAAACUAAGACGAACAACGCGAGAAGCGGGGAUGAGGCGUAGAAUAGAAGAAAACCUGCCACGCGGAAUAUGUAACGCAGGAGCAAUAGAAAACAGGAACUAGAUAUUAAACAAGUGUCCAUAUACGAGGAAAUUAGUAUAUUGAGUUUGUUUUGUCGUUCACAUUAAGUGGCAGAGAAUGGUAAGAAACAGGAAAACAAACACCGAAAGACAUAAAGGGGAGUAUGAACCUGAGGACACUGUGGCUGGAAGAGCAGAUCCAGGAGCAAAUAUGAAAAAUUCCAAGGAACCCACAAGCCAAGCAAAAUACGAUAGUAAAUUGUAGUGCUAUUAUAUAUACUAUAGGAUAUAGUAUAUCCUAACUGACAUAUAUUAUGUAAUUAAGUAUAAUUUUCCAUGAAGUAUGCUGUAACAUAGAAAUAUAUUAUACGUUAGUCUGGUAAUAUACUGACGACAAUUAUAAUAAUAA
Long non-coding RNA from Bombus terrestris (buff-tailed bumblebee), 704 nucleotides. RefSeq lists it as uncharacterized. Lineage: Eukaryota; Metazoa; Arthropoda; Insecta; Hymenoptera; Apidae. The record is from RefSeq and is a predicted model, not a curated record. The transcript has 2 exons.